This 544-nucleotide unclassified non-coding RNA is filed under the name Hevea brasiliensis (rubber tree). Lineage: Eukaryota; Viridiplantae; Streptophyta; Magnoliopsida; Malpighiales; Euphorbiaceae. The record is from RNAcentral.
GGACAUAGAUUUGGCCAAUUUUACCAAAUUCUUGAUUUGGGGCUUUGGAUGAUACUUGCAAAGACAGUAUGGAUUUUUCACCUCUCGUUGUCUCUCCAAGGUAGUAUUGACGUUUAAAGUGUGAGUAAUGGGGGAAUGUCAAACAAGAAAACUGAGGGAGGAAACCACACAAGCAAAUAGGGUAGGGUCUAUUAGAAUUGUGCUGUGUGAUCUUAACCAGAGCGAGAUCCAUAUAAAUCAUGAACUGCAGUAGCUUAUUGGCAGCAAGUACUGACUAUUUUUUCCUAAUUUCAACAAAUCAGGCUAAUAAUAGUAUGCAUCUAGUUGAAAGCUGAAAGAGAAUUAGUAGAUGAUAAUGCAGUGAAUCUAAAUUAAUCAUUUGAAAAUUAAUAUAGCAUGUAAUGCAUAACAAUUAUAUUGUGUAAAAAGAUAGUUAAGAGAAAAUUGAAUGUACAGACACAAAUCAUUAGGGAAUCCUGUUUAGACGUAUACAAUGUCUUGAUUCCAUUACAUGAGCUCGAGUAGCAAUGAUUUUAGUUUGGCU